This 1026-nucleotide ribosomal RNA is filed under the name Triticum aestivum (bread wheat). Its description in RNAcentral is "partial small subunit ribosomal RNA". The record is from RNAcentral. Lineage: Eukaryota; Viridiplantae; Streptophyta; Magnoliopsida; Poales; Poaceae.
AUGCGCCUCCUCGCCGCGCUCCUGCUCUUCGCCGCCGCCGCCGCGGUUGCGGCGGCGGCGGAGCUGCCCGAGUUCAGGGAGGCGCCGGCGUUCCGCAACGGCGCGGGGUGCGCGGGGGCCCCCACGAUCCACAUCGCGAUGACCCUCGACGGCACCUACCUGCGCGGGUCCCUCGCGGGCGUCCUCUCCGUGCUCCGCCACGCCGCGUGCCCGGAGUCCAUCGCCUUCCACUUCGUCGCCUCCUCGGCGUCCCCCGCGCGUCGCCUCGCCAGGCUCCGCGCCGCGCUCGCCGCCGCCUUCCCCACGCUCCCCGCCACCGUCCACCGCUUCGACGCCCGCCUCGUCCGCGGCAAGAUCUCCUCCUCCGUGCGCCGCGCCCUCGACCAGCCCCUCAACUACGCCCGCAUCUACCUCGCCGACAUCCUCCCCCGCUCCGUCCCCCGCGUCCUCUACCUCGACUCGGACCUCCUCGUCGUCGACGACGUCGCGCGCCUCUGGGCCACCGACCUCGGCCCCCACGCCGCCCUCGCCGCGCCCGAGUACUGCAACGCCAACUUCACCCUCUACUUCACCGACGCCUUCUGGCGCCACCCAGCCUACUCCUCCGUCUUCGCCAACCGCACGCGCGCGCCCUGCUACUUCAACACCGGGGUCAUGGUCAUCGACCUCGACCGGUGGCGGGCCGGCGGGUACACGGCCAAGCUCGAGUACUGGAUGGACGUGCAGAAGCAGGAGGCCAGGAUAUACGAGCUGGGCUCACUCCCGCCGUUCCUCCUCGUGUUCGCCGGCGACGUGAAGGCCGUGCAGCACAGGUGGAACCAGCACGGCCUCGGCGGGGACAACGUGGCGGGGCAGUGCCGGGAGCUGCACCCGGGGCCGGUGAGCCUGCUGCACUGGAGCGGCAAGGGGAAGCCGUGGCUGCGGCUCGACGCGGGCCGCCCCUGCCCGCUGGACGCGCUCUGGGCGCCCUACGACCUGCUCCGCCGCCGCGGCGCCCGUGACGACCUCCUCGCCGCCGUGGCUUGA